GUGAGGGAUCUUCGUCAAUGGGGGCAACCCUGAACGAGCAACGCCGCGUGUGGGAAGACGGCCUUCGGGUUGUAAACCACUUUUCUCGGUGACGAGACAGGACGGUACCCGAGGAAGAAGUCUCGGCUAACUACGUGCCAGCAGCCGCGGUAAUACGUAGGAGACGAGCGUUGUCCGGAGUUACUGGGCGUAAAGGGUGCGCAGGCGGCCUAGCGCGUCGCGAGUGAAAUCUCCUGGCUCAACUGGGAGUGUGGUCGCGAGACGGCUGGGCUUGAGGCUCGGUGAGGGGCGUGGAAUUCCGGGUGGAGCGGUGAAAUGCGUAGAGAUCCGGAGGAACACCGACGGCGUAGGCAGCGCCCUAGACGAGACCUGACGCUCAGGCACGAAAGCGCGGGGAGCGAACAGGAUUAGAUACCCCGGUAGUCC
This 426-nucleotide ribosomal RNA is filed under the name uncultured bacterium. RNAcentral's name for it is "bacterial SSU rRNA". It matches the Rfam family "Bacterial small subunit ribosomal RNA", at positions 354 to 796 of the family's 1533-position model. The record is from RNAcentral.